CCGAGAGAAGCAGUGAGAUGCACAGUGGGGAAAAGGGACCCAGCAGUCCAUCCUAUCCUGUACCUGCCUGAAUAUGGGAAGAGACCUAGUACAAAGCCAGAAUGCAGCUGGGCUUGCAGUCUUUUUAACCAUAUUAAGUCCUUUCAGAGUUAAUGAUGAGCUGAGUGAGAUGGUCUCAGCAAUGCUGAAGGAGGGAAGGACAGAAUUGGAAGGCAGGAGCUACUUUAAAGCAGGAUUUUUCAUCUUUCUGUAAUGCCCAAACAUGAAGACUUUAUAAACUUCAUUAGAUCCUGCCAUCAAUGACUGAGCCUCCCUGAAAUCUUCUUAUCAGUUACUGCCAAGAUGAGAGGGAUAACAGGAAGGAGGAGUGCUUAAGUGGCUUUAAUGACAGUUAAUUUCUUCUAUUUAUCAAACAACAGAUUGUUUUUUCCUCAAAGCUCGAUUGCCAUGACAAGAUGCUUUUGGAAGUCAUCUUUGUAAAAUAAAACUGACAAUUUUUAGGCU
Long non-coding RNA from Onychostruthus taczanowskii (white-rumped snowfinch), 504 nucleotides. RefSeq lists it as uncharacterized. NCBI's taxonomy places the organism in Eukaryota, Metazoa, Chordata, Aves, Passeriformes, Passeridae. The record is from RefSeq and is a predicted model, not a curated record. The transcript has 3 exons.